GACGAACGCUGGCGGCGUGCCUAAUACAUGCAAGUCGAACGCAUUUUCUUUCACCGUAGCUUGCUACACCGAAAGAAAAUGAGUGGCGAACGGGUGAGUAACACGUGGGUAACCUGCCCAUCAGCGGGGGAUAACACUUGGAAACAGGUGCUAAUACCGCAUAAUUCCAUUUACUGCAUGGUAGAUGGAUGAAAGGCGCUUUUGCGUCACUGAUGGAUGGACCCGCGGUGCAUUAGCUAGUUGGUGGGGUAACGGCCUACCAAGGCUGCGAUGCAUAGCCGACCUGAGAGGGUGAUCGGCCACACUGGGACUGAGACACGGCCCAGACUCCUACGGGAGGCAGCAGUAGGGAAUCUUCGGCAAUGGACGCAAGUCUGACCGAGCAACGCCGCGUGAGUGAAGAAGGGUGUCGGAUCGUAAAACUCUGUUGUUAGAAAAGAACAAGGAUGAGAGUGGAAAGUUCAUCCCUUGACGGUAUCUAACCAGAAAGCCACGGCUAACUACGUG
RNAcentral lists this ribosomal RNA (507 nucleotides) under uncultured bacterium. RNAcentral's name for it is "partial 16S ribosomal RNA". It matches the Rfam family "Bacterial small subunit ribosomal RNA", at positions 28 to 507 of the family's 1533-position model. The record is from RNAcentral.